CCUGUUCAUGCAACAACAACUUUAACCUGUCUCUGAAGCCUUUGGGGCGCCCGGGGGUUGGCCCAGCCGCGCUUGGAGGGGAAGCAAAAGCACGGGGAGAAUUUAUUGUUCUACAAUUUUGUUACACGCUUCCCAGGGUCGCUUUUCGCUGGAAAAUAUAUAAAAUACAUUAUAUAUAUAUAUAUAAACAAAUACGGUACUUUCUCACCCCAGCCGCCCUUGUAGCUCCCGGAGAGCCACUGGGCGGGCGGACCGGCCUCGAAAACGACCGCUGGGCGGAGCUACCCCUUCAAAAGCCUGACAGGACGGGCCGGCGCAGCCACAGGAAUCCUGAACUAAGCCAGCAGUUGGAGUUGGCGGCAGCAUGGAGUGCAGUCUGCCUGUUUUCGAUAAGCCCAAGGUUAUGGAUUUGGCUAUUCUAGAGUACCAGUUCUAGUGGUUAAAAUGUUGGAGUAGCAACAGAGAAACCCAAGUUCUAAUCCUGCCUUAGAUACAGAAGCCAGCUGGGCAAGUUUGGGCAAAUCCAUGCUUUCUUUCAGCCCUGGGGAACCCUAACUCAAAGGCAAACCACUUCAGAAAAUGUUGCUAAGGAAAUUACAGAAGCUUGUCCUUGCAACUGCUAGAAGUCAAGCCUGACUCAAAGGAGAUAAAAAAAAAGAAUUUCUCAGAAUUGCUGAUGUAUCCUAAAAACAAAAAAAAAUGCCUCACACAGAUUUAGUAAUAUCAUCUAGAAAAUUCUUGAUCAUUAUGAACAGACAAAAUUUACAGACAUUUGUAUCCCCUGCAGAAUUAACUGGGGAGAGAUAAAGGGGCCAAAGUGAUGGAUGCUACUAUAGAUUGAAAUCUUGUCUCUGUGCACAACCUCCCAUUUACACCCUACUUCCUCUACCCUUGUUUUAUAGAUGCUAUGAUUGCUUCAUGGAUUUAGCUAAAAUAUCUAAGCAUGUUGUUAAUUUUUGGCCCCAUAUUGGUUCAUAGAAAAAUUCAUUAACUGCCAACAAUUAAAUCAUGAAAAUCAUAUACUGAAACUUUCAAAUUUGUAUUAGAUGGGCAGUUGUUUCCGUUAGGAUACUGACUUUUUUAGAAUGUUAAAUAUGUGGUACGCAGCACAGAUUGUAAAAAAAAUGUUCUGGUUCUUUUAAUGCAAACAGGC
This 1153-nucleotide long non-coding RNA is filed under the name Notechis scutatus (mainland tiger snake). RNAcentral describes it as "lncRNA (ENSNSUG00000014734.1)". The record is from RNAcentral. Lineage: Eukaryota; Metazoa; Chordata; Lepidosauria; Squamata; Elapidae.